UUGGUCAUUUAGAGGAAGUAAAAGUCGUAACAAGGUCUCCGUAGGUGAACCUGCGGAGGGAUCAUUACAAGUGACCCCCGGCUCCGGCCGGGGAUGUUCAUAACCCUUUGUUGUCCGACUCUGUUGCCUCCGGGGCGACCCUGCCUUUUCACGGGCGGGGGCCCCGGGUGGACACAUCAAAACUCUUGCGUAACUUUGCAGUCUGAGUAAAUUUAAUUAAUAAAUUAAAACUUUCAACAACGGAUCUCUUGGUUCUGGCAUCGAUGAAGAACGCAGCGAAAUGCGAUAAGUAAUGUGAAUUGCAGAAUUCAGUGAAUCAUCGAAUCUUUGAACGCACAUUGCGCCCCCUGGUAUUCCGGGGGGCAUGCCUGUUCGAGCGUCAUUUCACCACUCAAGCCUCGCUUGGUAUUGAGCGACGCGGUCCGCCGCGCGCCUCAAAUCGACCGGCUGGGUCUUCUGUCCCCUCAGCGUUGUGGAAACUAUUCGCUAAAGGGUGCCACGGGAGGCCACGCCGAAAAACAAACCCAUUUCUAAGGUUGACCUCGGAUCAGGUAGGGAUACCCGCUGAACUUAAGCAUAUCAAUAAGCGGAGGA
This 594-nucleotide ribosomal RNA is filed under the name uncultured fungus. Its description in RNAcentral is "eukaryotic LSU rRNA". The stretch from base 229 to 382 matches the Rfam family "5.8S ribosomal RNA". Lineage: Eukaryota; Fungi. The record is from RNAcentral.